UGUGCUCCCACAGGAUUGAAGUACCUCAGCAGAACAAUUCUCCAUACUGGUUCGGCCGCGUGAAUAUCUCUAGCUAUUUCUUCAAGAAAGAGCUGCACAAAAGAAAGUCUCGUGUCCAGGGAAAAAUUGAUUCUAACGGUGUUGUAUCUGCACUUCUUGGAAAGGAAUUAUAUGUGGGACUCGAGUGUCUUCUUUCUGCAAAUUUGGAUCAUAAGAACAAGAAGGAUUACAAGCUUGGUUUGAGCUUAGCAUAUGGCUCACCAGUCACCACUCUCUUCGUGAAAUAGUUACUAACUCUUUCUAAGGAAUAUUUAUUUGUCAACUCUUUGCUUUAGUUGUAUAUAUUUAUAUUUUUUAACUAGACUAAUAUAAGUAGAUCAUGCGUACGAGUGAUUAUGUUAUAUUAUAGAAAUUUGAUUA
This is a non-coding RNA of Camelina sativa (false flax), 420 nucleotides long. Lineage: Eukaryota; Viridiplantae; Streptophyta; Magnoliopsida; Brassicales; Brassicaceae. The record is from RefSeq and is a predicted model, not a curated record.